UUCCAGACUCCUACGGGAGGCAGCAGUGGGGAAUAUUGCACAAUGGGGGAAACCCUGAUGCAGCAACGCCGCGUGAGUGAAGAAGUCAUUCGUGAUGUAAAGCUCUAUCAGCAGGGAAGAAAAUGACGGUACCUGAGUAAGAAGCCCCGGCUAACUACGUGCCAGCAGCCGCGGUAAUACGGAGGAUCCGAGCGUUAUCCGGAUUCAUUGGGUUUAAAGGGUGCGUAGGUUGUUUUAUAAGUUAGCGGUGAAAUACCGAUGCUCAACAUCGGGGCUGCCGCUAAUACUGUAGGACUAGAGAUCGGAUGCAGCAGGCGGAAUGUGUAGUGUAGCGGUGAAAUGCAUAGAUAUUACACAGAACACCGAUUGCGAAGGCAGCUUGCUAGGCCGGAUCUGACACUGAUGCACGAAAGCGUGGGGAUCGAACAGGAUUAGAUACCCCCGUAGAC
This 449-nucleotide ribosomal RNA is filed under the name uncultured bacterium. RNAcentral's name for it is "bacterial SSU rRNA". It matches the Rfam family "Bacterial small subunit ribosomal RNA", at positions 329 to 795 of the family's 1533-position model. The record is from RNAcentral.